RNA transcript from Drosophila mojavensis, 443 nucleotides. RefSeq lists it as uncharacterized. The record is from RefSeq and is a predicted model, not a curated record. NCBI's taxonomy places the organism in Eukaryota, Metazoa, Arthropoda, Insecta, Diptera, Drosophilidae. The transcript is spliced from 3 exons.
AAAAUAGUAUUACUUUCAUAUUGUUUUCUUCUGUUGUAAAUGUUUUUCACCAAGAAAAGAGGAUCUUAUUGUUGCAAGUGUAGAAUGGAUGUGUAAUCCAGAACACAAUCUUGCCAGCCAUUCAAGUGAAAAUUAUUUAUGUUUAGAUGAUUUUCAACAAAAUUAUCACUCAAAUAAAAUUAAGCUUUCUACAGACUGUGGUGGGAUUGCUAAAAAUCGGAAAAUGAGUGUGUCAUUUCAAAAUAAUAAUAAACAAAAGACGAAUUUAUUGGAAUCGGCUUUCGUAACGCUCAGUAAACAACAGAGAGAGAUGAAAUGUCAGUCGGCUGAAAAAUAAUAACGUCAACCGCAGAGAACAUACAUACUGGAUUUGUGAUGCUUGUGAUGAUUUUAAAUAGAUUAAAUAUAUGAAAGAUUUACUUUAUAAAAGUAAUAGUUAAUAA